AGUUACAAAAUUGUGAGCUCUAGGGUAAACAUUUUUCUGACAAUAACUGGAUUGUACCUUGAUGAAAUGGGUACUUGCCAUUGCAGAAGUGUUCCUUGUGUUAGGCAUGAUGGUACUUGUAUAUGAUCUGUUGGAUUAUGUGAUUAUGGCACAACAAUGUAUUAUAUGGGUCCGAAACUGUGAAUAUGAUUACUAUCAACUCUGUGUUGCAAUGACUUAGGAAGGAGUGAUAUUUUAUGUUGAGGGUGAAUGACAAGAGGCAAAGUUAAAAUAAGGUUUGCCAAUGGUUUAUUUGUUUGUCAACCAAUGGGACUCGAUUUGAUAGUUUUUGUUGUUUGUAAAGAGGACAGCAUGCUAUGUGUUGUAGAGGUCAUGUGGUGGGAUUUUGUGUUCAAGUUCCUCCACUAAUUAUAAAAAAAUGGAGAAAACAAAAGAAUAGGAACCAGCUUGGAUUUCCUAAAUACUGGCUUGAUGAGUAACUUUUGGAAUCCUAUUGAAGUUAAGGCUUAUGGUUCGCUAUCUGUACUGAUAUGCCUGCAGGCCUUGUUAGAAAACUAGAACGUAUUUCAACAGACUUGUUGUCCUCUCAAAGUGCUGAUGUUUUCACCGUAUUUUGAAGAAUCAGUUUUGUGGACAACAGAAUCCAAGAUGUUUUGAAAUACAGCUUAUUGUCAUCAACAUAAUUGUUGACUUUGUGUUCAAAAUAUUUUGGCCGUCUUUUUCUUGUAGUAUGAGGACAGCCAUUUACUUAAUAUGCUUAUAACCUAUAAAUUUUGUGGUUGG
This 783-nucleotide unclassified non-coding RNA is filed under the name Hevea brasiliensis (rubber tree). Lineage: Eukaryota; Viridiplantae; Streptophyta; Magnoliopsida; Malpighiales; Euphorbiaceae. The record is from RNAcentral.